Molecule: ribosomal RNA, 204 nt
Filed under: uncultured bacterium
Lineage: Bacteria
Description: partial 16S ribosomal RNA
Rfam family: Bacterial small subunit ribosomal RNA
Source: RNAcentral
UUCGUAGGUGGCUUGCUAAGUCAGACGUGAAAUCCCUCAGCUUAACUGGGGAACUGCGUCUGAGACUGGCGAGCUUGAGUGCAGGAGAGGAACGCGGAAUUCCAGGUGUAGCGGUGAAAUGCGUAGAUAUCUGGAGGAACACCGGUGGCGAAGGCGGCGUUCUGGACUGCAACUGACACUGAGGAACAAGCCAGGGAGCAAACG